GAUGAACGCUGGCGGCGUGCCUAAUACAUGCAAGUCGAACGCAGUGGGGACGGGUGAGUAACACCUGGGUAACCUCCCAUCAGAGGGGAUAACACUUGGAAAAAGGUGCUAAACCGAUCCUGUUGGAUGGACCCUCGGUGCAUUAGCUAGUGGGUGAGGGAACGGCUCACCAAGGCCACGAAGCAUAGCCGACCUGAGAGGGUGAACGACCACACUGGGACUGAGAAACGGCCCAGACUCCUAGGGGAGGCAGCAGUAGGGAAUCUUCGGCAAUGGACGAAAGGCUGACCGAGCAAUGCCGCGUGAGUGAAGAAGGUUUUCGGAUCGUAAAGCUCUGUUGUUAGAGAAGCGGUAUCUAACCAGAAAGCCACGGCUAACUACGUGCCAGCAGCCGCGGUAAUUC
RNAcentral lists this ribosomal RNA (403 nucleotides) under uncultured bacterium. RNAcentral describes it as "partial 16S ribosomal RNA". It matches the Rfam family "Bacterial small subunit ribosomal RNA", at positions 28 to 526 of the family's 1533-position model. The record is from RNAcentral.